This 452-nucleotide ribosomal RNA is filed under the name uncultured prokaryote. RNAcentral's name for it is "bacterial SSU rRNA". It matches the Rfam family "Bacterial small subunit ribosomal RNA", at positions 9 to 457 of the family's 1533-position model. The record is from RNAcentral.
GAGUUUGAUCCGGCUCAGGAUGAACGCUANCGGCAGGCUUAACACAUGCAAGUCGAGGGGUACGAUUUCGAGCAAUCGAAAGGCGACGACCGGCGCACGGGUGAGUAACGCGUAUGCAACCUACCUCUGACUGGGGGAUAGCUCCCGGAAACGGGAAUUAAUACCCCAUAAUAUUCUGAAUUCGCAUGUUUUCAGGAUUAAAGCUCCGGCGGUUAGAGACGGGCAUGCGUGACAUUAGUUUGUUGGUGAGGUAACGGCUCACCAAGACUACGAUGUCUAGGGGGUCUGAGAGGAUGGUCCCCCACACUGGUACUGAGACACGGACCAGACUCCUACGGGAGGCAGCAGUGAGGAAUAUUGGGCAAUGGACGCAAGUCUGACCCAGCCAUGCCGCGUGCAGGAAGACAGCCCUAUGGGUUGUAAANUGCUUUUAUUUGGGAANAAACCCCCGU